Long non-coding RNA from Mustela erminea (ermine), 1159 nucleotides. RefSeq lists it as uncharacterized. The record is from RefSeq and is a predicted model, not a curated record. Lineage: Eukaryota; Metazoa; Chordata; Mammalia; Carnivora; Mustelidae. The transcript has 3 exons.
UGAAGUGGUUGGUAUCCUACAAUAGUCCAUAUCAUGGAUACUACUGAGCCUCCUUAGCAGUGGAAUCAUGAGUUUAUACCAUGUGGUUAUUCACUUACUUUCAGCUAGGAGAGAAAGAAAAGCUUUGGGCAUGAGGGUCUGAAAAAGAAAAAAAGAGCUGAGACAAAGAGGAGUUUUUCAAAAUUCCUCAUAAUUCAAAAUGCAUAGCCCUCAAAUUAUGGAUGAACUUUAGAAGGUUCAAAAAAGUUGCCCUUCUGAUAACAAAAAAAAGCACUACUGAAGAAUCCACUGCAGAAGAAAGGGCGCUCCCUAGGUACUGCCUAUCAGGACUGUGUUGAUAUAGUUCAGAAAAGGAACUGGAGCAGUAACUGGCUUUUAGGAAGAAUUCCGCAUGAAAGAGGGAAAAUUGUUCUCUUUUAGGUCUAAGAUGAAAUAGAUGAUCAUAACUGCUCUGCUUGGAGAUGCAUUUCAUGGCACAAUGUAUACGUGACCUAUGCAAGGUCACGUCAUGGAAAGAGAACUGACAUGAGAGAUAACAAGUCGAAUCCAAGCUUUUAGUCUUGGACAACUUCAGGGUAACCUAUUUAGGUUGCUUUAUUUCAUGCAAUAUAGCAAGAAAAGUUUCUUUUUAAACAGUAAGUACGUCGUAGAUAUAAAGUCUGUAUAGGGCUCUCUCAACAGUUUGAACAAUGUCAAUUACAAAUAUAUGAAGAAUUACUGCCCAAAUCACUGAUCAUUAAGGGUUAUUUUAUUUUAUUUUAUUUUUUGGUCACAUUGUGAGCCUUGGUGCAGUGGCAAGCCAGCCUAAUUCUCAUCCACAAUAAGCUCCCGUGUUCCAGCCACACUACACGUUUCACACCUUGAGGUCUCUGCACAUGUUUCACACUGACAAAAAUCCUUCCCACCCCUCAUUUAAAACAUCAACUCCCCUGUAAAUCUUUCUUCUGAGACCCCUAAACAGGGUUCAUUAUUUCCUUCCCUGUGUACUCAGAGUGCUGCAUACCUAUCUAAUAUAGAGUAUCUAUCAGAUUCUAUUAUAAUUAUUGGUUUACUGUCUCCACCACCAGAAAUGAAAACUUGUCCAUUUACCCUUAUCUAGGAUUUCCCAUGUGCCAGGCACUGUUGUGAGCACUAUAGCUACAUCAGCUCUUUAAUCUGU